This is a long non-coding RNA of Mauremys mutica (yellowpond turtle), 347 nucleotides long. RefSeq lists it as uncharacterized. The record is from RefSeq and is a predicted model, not a curated record. The transcript is spliced from 3 exons. NCBI's taxonomy places the organism in Eukaryota, Metazoa, Chordata, Testudines, Geoemydidae.
UGUUACCACAGUACCAAUGGUGAGAGAACAAAGGCUAUCACCAGGUCCUCUAACCCUGCUAAGAGUAGGUGUUAUCAGCACAGCAGCAAAGCCCUCUUUAUCCUAAAACUGCUAUGGGGGAGAUCAGGUCCCUUCUGAUUUAACAAAGACUGGAUUCUAGGUGAAAGCCACAUGACUUCAGAUCAGUAUAGGCAACAUAAAAAGCACUAGUGAAGUCAGGACAAACUAAAAUAUCAUACCGACAAUGACUUGUUUAUACUUCUCUAUAGACACUGAAAUAAGGAAGAAAGGAAGCAACCAUUAAAGAGGAGCAGAGGUCCAAAUCUAAGGACUGCUCAGAGCUUGUG